AUGAGUGGCGAACGGGUGAGUAACACGUGAGUAACCUGCCCCUUCUUUGGGAUAACGCCCGGAAACGGGUGCUAAUACUGGAUAUUCACUGAUCUUCGCAUGGGGGUUGGUGGAAAGGUUUGUUCUGGUGGGGGAUGGGCUCGCGGCCUAUCAGCUUGUUGGUGGGGUGAUGGCCUACCAAGGCUUUGACGGGUAGCCGGCCUGAGAGGGUGACCGGUCACAUUGGGACUGAGAUACGGCCCAG
RNAcentral lists this ribosomal RNA (244 nucleotides) under uncultured bacterium. RNAcentral describes it as "partial 16S ribosomal RNA". It matches the Rfam family "Bacterial small subunit ribosomal RNA", at positions 91 to 334 of the family's 1533-position model. The record is from RNAcentral.